Non-coding RNA from Thalassospira alkalitolerans, 2576 nucleotides. NCBI's taxonomy places the organism in Bacteria, Pseudomonadati, Pseudomonadota, Alphaproteobacteria, Rhodospirillales, Thalassospiraceae. The record is from Rfam.
AUAAGAUGGUUACCUUACACUGAAUACAUAGGUGUAAGGGGCGAACCAGGGGAACUGAAACAUCUAAGUACCCUGAGGAAAAGAAAUCAACCGAGAUUCCCUUAGUAGUGGCGAGCGAACGGGGACUAGCCCUUAAGUGGCUUUGAGAUUAGCGGAACGCUCUGGAAAGUGCGGCCAUAGUGGGUGAUAGCCCUGUACGCGAAAAUCUCUUAGUCAUGAAAUCGAGUAGGACGGAGCACGAGAAACUUUGUCUGAAUAUGGGGGGACCAUCCUCCAAGGCUAAAUACUACUGACUGACCGAUAGUGAACUAGUACCGUGAGGGAAAGGCGAAAAGAACCCCGGAGAGGGGAGUGAAAUAGAUCCUGAAACCGUAUGCGUACAAGCAGUGGGAGCCCACUUUGUUGGGUGACUGCGUACCUUUUGUAUAAUGGGUCAGCGACUUAUUUUCAGUGGCGAGCUUAACCGAAUAGGGGAGGCGUAGCGAAAGCGAGUCUUAAUAGGGCGUCUAGUCGCUGGGAAUAGACCCGAAACCGGGCGAUCUAUCCAUGGGCAGGUUGAAGGUUGGGUAACACUAACUGGAGGACCGAACCGACUACCGUUGAAAAGUUAGCGGAUGACCUGUGGAUCGGAGUGAAAGGCUAAUCAAGCUCGGAGAUAGCUGGUUCUCCUCGAAAGCUAUUUAGGUAGCGCCUCAUGUAUCACUGUAGGGGGUAGAGCACUGUUUCGGCUAGGGGGUCAUCCCGACUUACCAAACCGAUGCAAACUCCGAAUACCUACAAGUGCCGAGCAUGGGAGACACACGGCGGGUGCUAACGUCCGUCGUGAAAAGGGAAACAACCCAGACCGUCAGCUAAGGUCCCAAAGUUAUGGUUAAGUGGGAAACGAUGUGGGAAGGCUUAGACAGCUAGGAGGUUGGCUUAGAAGCAGCCACCCUUUAAAGAAAGCGUAAUAGCUCACUAGUCGAGUCGGCCUGCGCGGAAGAUGUAACGGGGCUCAAACCAUACACCGAAGCUACGGGUAUCACGUAAGUGAUGCGGUAGAGGAGCGUUCUGUAAGCCUGUGAAGGUGAGUUGAGAAGCUUGCUGGAGGUAUCAGAAGUGCGAAUGCUGACAUGAGUAACGACAAUGGGUGUGAAAAACACCCACGCCGAAAGACCAAGGUUUCCUGCGCAACGUUAAUCGACGCAGGGUUAGUCGGUCCCUAAGGCGAGGCUGAAAAGCGUAGUCGAUGGAAAACAGGUUAAUAUUCCUGUACUUCUGGUUAUUGCGAUGGAGGGACGGAGAAGGCUAGGCCAGCUUGGCGUUGGUUGUCCAAGUUUAAGGUGGUAGGCUGAGAUCUUAGGUAAAUCCGGGAUCUUAAGGCCGAGAGCUGAUGACGAGUUAUCUUUUAGAUGACGAAGUGGUUGAUGCCAUGCUUCCAAGAAAAGCUUCUAAGCUUCAGGUAACCAGGAACCGUACCCCAAACCGACACAGGUGGUUGGGUAGAGAAUACCAAGGCGCUUGAGAGAACUCGGGUGAAGGAACUAGGCAAAAUGGCACCGUAACUUCGGGAGAAGGUGCGCCGGUGAGGGUGAAGGACUUGCUCCGUAAGCCCAUGCCGGUCGAAGAUACCAGGCCGCUGCGACUGUUUAUUAAAAACACAGCACUCUGCAAACACGAAAGUGGACGUAUAGGGUGUGACGCCUGCCCGGUGCCGGAAGGUUAAGAGGAGAUGUGCAAGCAUUGAAUUGAAGCCCCGGUAAACGGCGGCCGUAACUAUAACGGUCCUAAGGUAGCGAAAUUCCUUGUCGGGUAAGUUCCGACCUGCACGAAUGGCGUAACGAUGGCGGCGCUGUCUCCACCCGAGACUCAGUGAAAUUGAAAUCGCUGUGAAGAUGCAGUGUAUCCGCGGCUAGACGGAAAGACCCCGUGAACCUUUACUAUAGCUUUGCACUGGACUUUGAAUUUGCUUGUGUAGGAUAGGUGGGAGGCUUUGAAGCGUGGACGCCAGUUCGCGUGGAGCCAACCUUGAAAUACCACCCUGGCAACUUUGAGGUUCUAACUCAGGUCCGUUAUCCGGAUCGAGGACAGUGUAUGGUGGGUAGUUUGACUGGGGCGGUCUCCUCCUAAAGAGUAACGGAGGAGUACGAAGGUGCGCUCAGACCGGUCGGAAAUCGGUCGUAGAGUAUAAAGGCAAAAGCGCGCUUGACUGCGAGACAGACACGUCGAGCAGGUACGAAAGUAGGUCUUAGUGAUCCGGUGGUUCUGUAUGGAAGGGCCAUCGCUCAACGGAUAAAAGGUACUCCGGGGAUAACAGGCUGAUACCGCCCAAGAGUUCAUAUCGACGGCGGUGUUUGGCACCUCGAUGUCGGCUCAUCACAUCCUGGGGCUGAAGCCGGUCCCAAGGGUAUGGCUGUUCGCCAUUUAAAGUGGUACGCGAGCUGGGUUUAGAACGUCGUGAGACAGUUCGGUCCCUAUCUGCCGUGGACGUUUGAGAUUUGAGAGGGGCUGCUCCUAGUACGAGAGGACCGGAGUGGACGAACCUCUGGUGUUCCGGUUGUCACGCCAGUGGCAUUGCCGGGUAGCUAUGUUCGGAA